RNAcentral lists this non-coding RNA (29 nucleotides) under Mus musculus (house mouse). The record is from RNAcentral. Lineage: Eukaryota; Metazoa; Chordata; Mammalia; Rodentia; Muridae.
UNCUUUGAUAGAAACUGUCUUUUACUUGG